GUAUCUUCAAGCUUUGCUUGGUGUUGGGUGUUUGUCCUGCUCUAUGCGUGGACUCGCCUUAAAUCAAUUGGCAGCCGGUAAUCUGGUGGUAAGAGCGCAGCACAUUGUGCGCUCCUCGCUGUGUAUUGCGGCGUCCAUUAAGCCUAUAUUUUUUGC
This 156-nucleotide unclassified non-coding RNA is filed under the name uncultured fungus. RNAcentral describes it as "sequence contains ITS2". The record is from RNAcentral. Lineage: Eukaryota; Fungi.